GACAGAGGGUGCAAACGUUGCUCGGAAUCACUGGGCGUAAAGGGCGUGUAGGCGGGCAGGUAAGUCGGGCGUGAAAUCCCUGAGCUCAACUCAGGAACUGCACUCGAAACUACUUGUCUUGAGUACCGGAGAGGAAAGCGGAAUACCUGGUGUAGAGGUGAAAUUCGUAGAUAUUCGCAAGAACACCAGUGGCGAAGGCGGCUCACUGGCCCGGUACUGACGCUGAGGUGCGAAAGCGUGGGGAGCAAACAGG
This 253-nucleotide ribosomal RNA is filed under the name uncultured bacterium. RNAcentral describes it as "partial 16S ribosomal RNA". It matches the Rfam family "Bacterial small subunit ribosomal RNA", at positions 524 to 776 of the family's 1533-position model. The record is from RNAcentral.